RNAcentral lists this ribosomal RNA (672 nucleotides) under Mallomonas sp. RNAcentral describes it as "eukaryotic LSU rRNA". It matches the Rfam family "Eukaryotic large subunit ribosomal RNA", at positions 126 to 887 of the family's 3401-position model. Lineage: Eukaryota; Synurophyceae; Synurales; Mallomonadaceae. The record is from RNAcentral.
ACUUUUAAUCUUCGGAAUUGUAGUCUGUAUAAGCUACGUCAUCUCUAGUCGUCGGUAAAGUGUCCUGGAAYGGACCGCCAAGGAGGGUGAUAGCCCCGUUCAUACCRACGAUGAAGGUGUUCGACCAGCUUUUUAAGAGUCGAGUUGCUUGGGACUGCAGCUCUAAGCGGGUGGUAAAUUCCAUCUAAAGCUAAAUAUUGGUGGGAGACCGAUAGCAAACAAGUACCGUGAGGGAAAGAUGAAAAGAACUUUGAAAAGAGAGUUAAAAAGUACCUGAAAUUGCUGAAAUGGAACCGAUAAGAGGCAGUGUUAGUACGCUAUCUACGCGAGAGCGAAGUUCGUAUAAGUUAGGCUUGUUUAAUUGCGUGGGAGAGCUUCGGCGUCACGCGGUUGAACGACUCUGACGAAAUGCCUCCUAUCAUCCCGUCUUGAAACACGGACCAAGGAGUCUAACAUGUUUGCGAGUGCUCGGAGUUUAACUCCAAGCGCGGAAUUAAUGUGAAUGUGACCUAGUCACUAAGGUAGGAUCCUUCGGGUGCACUAUCGACCGACCACUGUCCUACGGGUACGAGGUUUGAGUGUGAGCAUACAUGUUGGGACCCGAAAGAUGGUGAACUAUGCUUGAGUAGGACGAAGCCAGGGGAAACUCUGGUGAAGGUCCGCAGCGAUUCU